UACGUAGGGGGCGAGCGUUGUCCGGAAUCAUUGGGCGUAAAGAGCUCGUAGGCGGUUCAGCAAGUCGGCUGUGAAAUUCCGAGGCUCAACCUCGGAGCUGCAGUCGAUACUGCUGUGACUCGAGUCCGGUAGAGGAGAAUGGAAUUCCCGGUGUAGCGGUGAAAUGCGCAGAUAUCGGGAGGAACACCAGUAGCGAAGGCGGUUCUCUGGGCCGGUACUGACGCUGAGGAGCGAAAGCGUGGGGAGCAAACAGG
This 254-nucleotide ribosomal RNA is filed under the name uncultured bacterium. RNAcentral describes it as "partial 16S ribosomal RNA". It matches the Rfam family "Bacterial small subunit ribosomal RNA", at positions 524 to 776 of the family's 1533-position model. The record is from RNAcentral.